Oncorhynchus kisutch (coho salmon) is the source of this 3818-nucleotide RNA transcript. It is a transcript of the gene named Bruton agammaglobulinemia tyrosine kinase, with no coding region annotated. The transcript has 20 exons. The record is from RefSeq and is a predicted model, not a curated record. NCBI's taxonomy places the organism in Eukaryota, Metazoa, Chordata, Actinopteri, Salmoniformes, Salmonidae.
CAAUCAGGAAGUGAGAAGGAGGGUGUUUAAAAUAGUCAGAGCUGAGCUGAGAAAACUUGUAUCAUGGAGAUAGCAUGCAGAGCAACCUUAACGAUUAAGCUCUUUUGAAUAUAUCUACGGUAUAAGGAACAUGGAUCUAUGCUGUAGAUCUAUGCUUUAGAUCUAUGCUGUAGUGACAAAGCGCAGAGUUCAUGAAGAGUAGGUAGGGGGAUAACAUCUGAUCCGACCAUGUCAGACAAUCUCCUGGAAGAGAUCUUUAUAAAACGCUCCCAGCAGAAGAAGAAGACCUCCCCUUUAAACUUCAAAGAGAGGCUGUUCAUCCUGACACAGGACAAGAUCGCCUACUACGACUAUGAUCUGGACAAAGGGAAAAAGAAGGGGUUGAAAGGCACCGUGGGCAUCGAUAAGAUCAAGUGUGUGGGGACAGUACAGCCGGAGCCCAGUGCCCCCGCAGAGCGCCAGUACCCGUUCCAGAUAAUCUACGAUGAGGGCCCACUUUACAUAUUCGCCAAGAGCGACGAGGUCCGAAAGCAGUGGCUCCACAAGCUGAAGCAUGUGGUGCGUUUCAACAAGGACCUGAUGCAGAAGUACCACCCAUGCUUCUGGAUGGACGGCAUGUGGCAGUGCUGCCAGCAGGAAGUCAAACAAGCCAUGGGCUGCAGGGUGCUGGAGAACAAGAAUGUAGGGGUUUCAAAGGGGUCUCGGAGGCAAUCCAGAAAACCCCUUCCACCUACUCCAGAAGAGGAGAAACCUUUGAGGCCUUUACCUCCGCAGCCUCCCGAGGAGCCUGCGCUCACCACAGGCAUGACGGUGGUUGCUGAGUAUGAGUACACACCCUCCACGCCCCAGGAUCUGGAGCUGAGGAAGGAUGAGGAGUACAUCAUUCUGGAGAUGUCUGACUCCAACUGGUGGAGAGCCAGGGACAAAUACGGCAAGGAGGGAUACAUUCCCAGUAAUUACGUUGUGGAGGCUGGAAAUGAACUGGAAAAGUUUGACUGGUACUGCAAGAGCAUGAACCGUAGCCAGGCAGAGAAUCUGUUGAAGACAGAGAACAAAGAUGGUGGUUUCUUAGUACGUGACUCAAGCAAAGCUGGGAAGUACACCGUUUCUGUGUUCACCAAGGGCGGGGAGACUGCGGGUAACUGCAGACACUACAACAUCUGCACCACCCAACAAGGCCAGUUCUACUUGGCAGAGAAGCACAAUUUCAGCAGCAUCCCAGACCUCAUUAACUACCACCAGCACAAUGCAGCAGGUAUGGUCAGUAGGCUGAAAUACAUUGUGUCAAGUCGUGCAAAAAAUGCCCCUUCCACAGCAGGGCUUGGUUAUGGGGUAUGGGAGAUUGACCCACGCCACCUCACCUUCAUCAAGGAGCUGGGCAACGGGCAGUUUGGAGUGGUGAAGUAUGGGAAGUGGCAGGGCCAGCAUGACGUGGCCAUCAAGAUGAUCAAGGAGGGCUCCAUGUCUGAAGACGACUUCAUAGAGGAGGCCAAAGUCAUGAUGAAGCUCCGCCACGAGAACUUGGUUCAGCUGUACGGCGUGUGCACCAAACAAAGGCCCAUCUACAUUGUCACAGAGUUCCUCUCCAACGGCUGCCUACUCAGCUAUCUGCGGGAAGGGCUGAAGCAGCAUCCAUCCCCCAUCCAGCUCCUGGAAAUGUGUAAAGACGUCACAGAGGGCAUGGCCUACCUGGAGGCUCAGCAGUACAUCCACAGAGACCUGGCUGCAAGAAACUGCUUGGUAGAUACCAAUGGGACCAUUAAAGUCACUGACUUUGGACUGUCGAGGUAUGUCCUGGAUGAUGAGUACACCAGCUCUGCAGGCUCCAAGUUCCCAGUGCGCUGGUCUCCUCCUGAAGUCCUGCUCUACUGUAAAUUCAGCAGCAAGUCAGACAUCUGGGCUUAUGGGGUCUUAAUGUGGGAGGUCUACACCUUAGGGAGGCUUCCCUACGAACGGUUAAACAACAAUGAGAUAGUGGAACAGGUGUCCCGAGGCCAUCGCCUCUAUCGCCCCCAGUUGGCCAACGACAGAGUCUACACCAUCAUGACCAGCUGUUGGCUGGAUAAGGCGGACGAGAGACCCACCUUUCAGGAGCUGUCGGUGACUGUUCAGGACUUGCUCUAUGAGCUCCAGUAGAUCCAACCACCACAUUCUGAGAUUGAAACACAGUUUGCAGACUCAUCCCUCUGACACUUCCUCAUGCAGAGCAGACUCAAGGCUUCAUCCCCUCAGGGCCUCAUUCAUUCUGUGCAUCAGCCAUUGAGGAACCUGCUUUAGGAGAAGUAGAUAAAACUGUUAAAGAAGGAUCGGCCAUCCUAUGGGAGCGCUGAGAGAUGCUAUAUGGUUGAACAUGGGACACCCAUGAUGAACUCCAGUAGUGAAAUAAAAUAUUAUUUGAUGAAUGUAUCUGUUGGUUAUUGAGAACAUGCUAGAUAUGAAAAGUUUUUCCUUAUUUAUUUUGUAUGUUUUCUUUUAUUACUAUCAUUGGUGAACUGCAUUCAAUAAUACAUGCAUACAUACAUACAUACGAGAGAGGCCUAUCUGUUUCUGUAAGAUUUCUUGUUUCUUUUCUAUGUCUAGCCACUGAAAUGUAUAGUAAGAAGAAACACCCUUUAACAACUGAAAAUGUAGCUAUGUUCUUUCAUUAAAUUAUUGAGAAAGAGCAGCAGCCUACCUUGCAGCGUCUGAGCCUCCGUAUCUUAGAGAAACAUAUUGCAUAUAAUGACCAUAUGGAUAAAGUCGAUAAAGCUUGAUAACAAAAUAUUUUGGUGAUUGUAGAAUGUCCCCAGAUCCAAUGGAUUUUACUGUUCUUAGUGGCGCACUUUCUGAUUGGUCCAGCACUCUUCCGUUUCCUGUGAUGCGCAAGCCGAUUCACACACGUGAAGGUCAGGAACUGCAGUCAAUCGUUUACAAUUAUCAAAUAAUUGUACAUUUCUGUCUAAUUUAUAAGCGAUUUGCCCAUGAACAUGGAAAACCAAGGAGCCACAGCAGACCCUCAGCUUCAGCAAUUCAUCGAAAUCGAGUCCCAAAAACAAAGGUUUCAGCAGUUGGUCCAUCAGAUGACUGAAGUGUGUUGGGAGAAAUGCAUGGACAAACCUGGGCCCAAGCUGGACUCCCGGACAGAGAUCUGCUUUGUGAACUGUGUAGAGCGCUUCAUUGACACAAGCCAAUUCAUCCUGAACAGACUCGAACAAACACAGAGGAGUAAGGGCUCCUUCUCAGAAUCCAUGUCUGAAUAGUCUAGCAACAUCCUCCACUGGAUAGACUGACAAGGCGCUGAACAGCCAAUCAAGUUGUUUUACAGCAAUGCCAGCUUUCUAUAUGGUGCAAUGAGAACACUGUCCAAUAACCAGGUGGGGAAGAAACAAGUCGUUUUGAUAAGUGCCUCGGUUUUGCACCUUGUAUCAUGUCACCUAGCCAAGUUCCUCUCUCACCUAGUGGGACAUGAGAUUAAGUGCAGUAGUAACAAUUCUGGUUGGUAGCUAGCUAAUAUCUUCAUAUUGUUGGUGAUUCUGAAACUGUGUAGUAAAUGGAAUGAGCCUGUUGCAUGUCAAUCAUAUCAUGAAAACUGAGAUGGGAGAACUCCAUUAGUAUGCUUUUAAAACAAGCUUACCCAGCUGUAGAGGUUGUCCUGGGGCAGAAACAAAGAGCCAAAAAUCUGGGACAUUCAAUUAGACAACGUGUCGGAAAGCCACAAAAACUCACUGCAUUCAGUACCAAGUCAGAGUACGAACAAUGUCUUGUUGGGAAAAGGGCACGAUCUAUGGCCGAAACAAGUGUUCCAUUGUAUAUAUAUGCAAUAAACAAAAAUCUUAUUG